Molecule: non-coding RNA, 75 nt
Filed under: Stygamoeba regulata
Lineage: Eukaryota; Discosea; Stygamoebida
Source: RNAcentral
CGAUGAAAGAAAAGAAAGAACUCUCAUUUUUUUUCUUUUUUUUUUUUCAAUUAAUUCCCUCAAUAUAAUAAUAAU